GGGCGAUUGGUUUAGUGGUAUAACGUCUGCUUAGCAUCGAUGAGUUGUUCCUACAACUACAGUGCUUGCUGAAGGUCGCGCGUUCGAUUCGCGCAUUGUCCA
This is a transfer RNA of Verticillium dahliae VdLs.17, 102 nucleotides long. It matches the Rfam family "tRNA". Rfam says of the family: Transfer RNA (tRNA) molecules are approximately 80 nucleotides in length. Their secondary structure includes four short double-helical elements and three loops (D, anti-codon, and T loops). NCBI's taxonomy places the organism in Eukaryota, Fungi, Ascomycota, Sordariomycetes, Glomerellales, Plectosphaerellaceae. The record is from Rfam.